Molecule: ribosomal RNA, 603 nt
Filed under: uncultured bacterium
Lineage: Bacteria
Description: bacterial SSU rRNA
Rfam family: Bacterial small subunit ribosomal RNA
Source: RNAcentral
AUGGUGGGGUAAAGGCCUACCAUGGCGACGAUCUGUAGCUGGUCUGAGAGGAUGAUCAGCCACACCGGGACUGAGACACGGCCCGGACUCCUACGGGAGGCAGCAGUGGGGAAUAUUGGACAAUGGGGGCAACCCUGAUCCAGCCAUGCCGCGUGUGUGAAGAAGGCCUUUUGGUUGUAAAGCACUUUAAGCAGUGAAGAAGACUCUAUGGUUAAUACCCAUAGACGAUGACAUUAGCUGCAGAAUAAGCACCGGCUAACUCUGUGCCAGCAGCCGCGGUAAUACAGAGGGUGCAAGCGUUAAUCGGAAUUACUGGGCGUAAAGCGAGCGUAGGUGGCUUGAUAAGUCAGAUGUGAAAGCCCCGGGCUUAACCUGGGAACGGCAUCUGAUACUGUUAGGCUAGAGUAGGUGAGAGGAAGGUAGAAUUCCAGGUGUAGCGGUGAAAUGCGUAGAGAUCUGGAGGAAUACCGAUGGCGAAGGCAGCCUUCUGGCAUCAUACUGACACUGAGGUUCGAAAGCGUGGGUAGCAAACAGGAUUAGAUACCCUGGUAGUCCACGCCGUAAACGAUGUCUACUAGUCGUUGGGUCCCUUGAGGACUUAGU